This 482-nucleotide ribosomal RNA is filed under the name uncultured Clostridium sp. RNAcentral describes it as "partial 16S ribosomal RNA". Lineage: Bacteria; Bacillati; Bacillota; Clostridia; Eubacteriales; Clostridiaceae. The record is from RNAcentral.
CACGUAGUUAGCCGUGGCUUCCUCCUCAGGUACCGUCAUUAUCGUCCCUGAAGACAGAGCUUUACAAUCCGAAGACCGUCAUCACUCACGCGGCGUUGCUGCAUCAGGGUUUCCCCCAUUGUGCAAUAUUCCCCACUGCUGCCUCCCGUAGGAGUCUGGGCCGUGUCUCAGUCCCAAUGUGGCCGAUCACCCUCUCAGGUCGGCUACGCAUCGUCGCCUUGGUGAGCCGUUACCUCACCAACUAGCUAAUGCGACGCGGGUCCAUCUCAUAGCGGAUUACUCCUUUAAUUGCUGUACCAUGCGGUACUACAAUCUUAUGCGGUAUUAAUCUUCCUUUCGAAAGGCUAUUCCCCUCUAUGAGGCAGGUUACCCACGUGUUACUCACCCGUCCGCCGCUAAUCCAUUCCCGAAGGAACUUCAUCGCUCGACUUGCAUGUGUUAAGCACGCCGCCAGCGUUCGUCCUGAGCCAGGAUCAAACUCU